This 1495-nucleotide unclassified non-coding RNA is filed under the name Hevea brasiliensis (rubber tree). Lineage: Eukaryota; Viridiplantae; Streptophyta; Magnoliopsida; Malpighiales; Euphorbiaceae. The record is from RNAcentral.
AUUCAAGAACAUCUUUAGAAGCUGAGGCUUAUGCUGCAUACAUGAAAGGGAGUUUAUUGUUUGAAAAAGAUCAAAAUUGGGACGUUGCUCUAAAGUGUUUCAAAAGUGCCAGGGCUGUGUAUGAGGAACUUGGAAAAUAUGGGGAUCUAGAGAACCAAGUAUUGUGCCGUGAGCGAGUUGAGGAACUAGAACCUAGUAUCAGAUAUUGCUUACACAAGAUUGGUGAGUCUAACUUACAAACUUCUGAACUCGUUUCCAUCGGUGAAAUUGAAGGGCCUGCACUGGACCUUUUCAAAGCAAAGUUGGAGGCUGCUAUGGCAGAGGCAAGAUCUCAGCAGGCUGCAUCUAUGACAGAAUUUCAUUGGCUUGGAAAUAGAUUUCCAAUUUCAAAUGCAAAGACACGUGUGUCCAUCCUGAAAGCCCAGGAACUGGAGAAAGAUAUCCAUGGUUCAGCUGCUGAUUCUCUUCCAGCAGAGAAGAAACUUGUGUUAUAUGACAAAAUAUUUGCCGCAUAUCACGAAGCCAGGAGCUGCAUCCGGAAUGACCUGGUUACGGCUGCUAAUUCAGAAAAUGUGAAGGAUGAGUUAAGUGGACUGGAUAAAGCCGUUGGUGCAAUUUUAGGUCAGCGAACCAUUGAGAGGAACCAGUUGCUAGUUAAAAUAGCUAAAAGCAAGCUCAACAAGGUCCGUGAUGAUAAAAAUGAAAAGGUCACGAAGCCAGAGGAGCUUGUUCGUCUGUAUGAUCUACUGUUACAGAAUACUGCUGAUCUUUCUGAUCUAGUUAGUUCUGGAAGAGAUAGAAAGAUUGAAGAAGUUGCGUUAGCUGAAGAGUGUGAGCUGAAAAGUAUGGUUUUCCGAGCAGAAAGGUGCUUCUACUUAGCAAAAUCCUACAGUUCGGCGGGAAAGAGGACAGAAGCUUAUGCCUUGUACUCUCGAGCUCGUUCUUUAGCUGAUGCAGCUCUUAUGAAACUGCAGUCCGCGAAUGCUGCUGAUCUGGUCAUGAUCAAGGAACUGAAAACACUGUAUAAUGAGAGCAGAUCUAACAGCUGUGCUGAGCAUGCCAGAGGAAUUAUGGAGGAGGAAAAGGCUCCAGAAAAUCUCUCGAAAAAGAUAUCUAAUAUCUCAUUGAAUGGAACUGAUAAGAAGAUGGAGAAACUUCUCAUGGAAAAAUUGGACACAUAUGAAUCAGCUGUUGGUGAAGCCAACGUGAAGGUUGUUCCUCGAAUUGAAACAUUUCCACCUGCCUUUCAACCAGUUGCUCGUAAUCCCAUCGUAUUGGACCUGGCCUAUAACCUUAUUGAGUUCCCAUCACUGGACUCUCGUAUGAAGAAAGAUAAGAAAGGUUUCAUUAGUAGGUUUUGGGGCUGAGCUGCUUUUUUCAUUGGUCAUUGAUUUUUCAGUUGCACCAUAGAGUUGAGUUGAGGCAAUUUUAUCAAAUUUUUAAGCUGCAAAAUUCUUCAACAUGACUUCAGAAAAUUUUUCUAUACCUGAGAAGU